RNAcentral lists this transfer RNA (75 nucleotides) under Campylobacterales bacterium. Its description in RNAcentral is "tRNA-Gln". It matches the Rfam family "tRNA". Rfam says of the family: Transfer RNA (tRNA) molecules are approximately 80 nucleotides in length. Their secondary structure includes four short double-helical elements and three loops (D, anti-codon, and T loops). Further hydrogen bonds mediate the characteristic L-shaped molecular structure. tRNAs have two regions of fundamental functional importance: the anti-codon, which is responsible for specific mRNA codon recognition, and the 3' end, to which the tRNAs corresponding amino acid is attached (by aminoacyl-tRNA synthetases). tRNAs cope with the degeneracy of the genetic code in two manners: having more than one tRNA (with a specific anti-codon) for a particular amino acid; and 'wobble' base-pairing, i.e. permitting non-standard base-pairing at the 3rd anti-codon position. Lineage: Bacteria; Pseudomonadati; Campylobacterota; Epsilonproteobacteria; Campylobacterales. The record is from RNAcentral.
UGGGGUAUCGCCAAGCGGUAAGGCCUCGGUUUCUGGUGCCGACAUUCGGGGGUUCGAAUCCCUCUACCCCAUCCA